RNAcentral lists this long non-coding RNA (395 nucleotides) under Homo sapiens (human). Its description in RNAcentral is "HSALNT0356699". The record is from RNAcentral. Lineage: Eukaryota; Metazoa; Chordata; Mammalia; Primates; Hominidae.
CAAACAAAAAACAAUGCUUUACCAUAACAAAUGUAUUUAUUUCUGUACAUCUUUAUCUUUUGUAGUAUUCAACUUACACUAUUACAAAAUUUGAAUCUCACAAUAACCCACUGAAAAAGCCAAUGAAUCUUCCUUUAUUACAAAAGAAGAAGAAGCCUCAGAAAAGGUUGAAAUCCUAACCCCCAAAGCAAUGGUAUCAGAAGGUGGGGACUUUGGAAAGCGAUUAAGUCAUGAAUGAGAUUAGCGACCUUAUAAAAGAGACCCCAGAGGGCUCAUUUGCCCCUGCUGCCAUGGGAGGACACAGCAAAAUGACAGCCUUCUACAAACCAGAAAGUGGGCCUUCAACACACAGUCAAUCUGUCUGUGAGAAAUAAAUUCCUGUUGUUUAUAAACCA